RNAcentral lists this ribosomal RNA (468 nucleotides) under uncultured bacterium. Its description in RNAcentral is "partial 16S ribosomal RNA". It matches the Rfam family "Bacterial small subunit ribosomal RNA", at positions 28 to 507 of the family's 1533-position model. The record is from RNAcentral.
GAUGAACGCUGGCGGCGUGCUUAACACAUGCAAGUCGAACGGUGAAGCCGGAGCUUGCUCUGCUGGACCAGUGGCGAACGGGUGAGAAACACGUGAGAAAUCCGCCCCUGACUGUGGGAUAAGCGCUGGAAACGGCGUCUAAUACUGGAUACGAGCUGCGGAGGCAUAUUCAGCAGCUGGAAAGAACCUCGGUCAGGGAUGGGCUCGCGGCCUAUCAGCUUGUUGGUGAGGUUAUGGCUCACCAAGGCGACGACGGGUAGCCGGCCUGAGCGGGUGACCGGCCACACUGGGACUGAGACACGGCCCAGACUCCUACGGGAGGCAGCAGUGGGGAAUAUUGCACAAUGGGCGAAAGCCUGAUGCAGCAACGCCGCGUGAGGGACGACGGCCUUCGGGUUGUAAACCUCUUUUAGCAGGGAAGAAGCGAAAGUGACGGUACCUGCAGAAGAAGCGCCGGCUAACUACGUG